GGGAUUUAAAAAACCCCAGAUAUGCAUGCAUUGCUCAAUGACUAGCUUAUUAAAAAGACCCCACCAAGGAAAAAAGGAAGGAGCCAAGAUGCAGCUCUCCCUAAUUCUGACCAGAGAUGGAUCCGCAGAGUUUUAUUUUAUAAAGCCCUAGGGGAAUCAAAUCUUUGUCUUUUCUACAGAGCUUUAGUUUAUCUCCUGUCCAGCCUUCACACUCGGAAUUUCAUUAACCUACUAUAUACCAGUAGAGAUAUCAGGAAUGGAUUCAGUGCACUUCUGAGGAGAGGUGAACAGUGGACUGUAAACAUCAAUGGAAGUUAGUGACUGACAAGGCAGAUUAUGGCACUUCUGACAGCUGUAGUGUCAUGGAGGAAGCCAGGGCUAGGACUGUCUCCAACUCCAGGCUGUCCAAGUGGUAGGGGCAACACAGAAUUAUGUGUUGUUUGAACAUUGCUGUCAUUUGGCCAUUGACUGUAGCUGUGGUAUGUUGAAAAGUUUCCUCACCUCUCCCAGGCAAAAAAUUUAGCUGAAAAUAUCUGGCUGGGGAAAACCUUCAUCAAGACUUCUACCAUGCAUUGGUCCAACCUUUUCUAUCACGUAACUUCUUGCUUUUUCUAUCUUCUGCAGGAGAGCUUCCCUAAAAUACUUAUUUUUCCUCCUCCAAAUUCCUACAUUAAAUACCUCGUCUUCAAAAUCCUUGUUAGUAAUUAAGUAGAUUGUAUCUUGCUUGGUAUGAUAAUUACCCUUCUCUUAGGUCUCCCUGUUGACUACUGUUCAUCUAUCACCUACUGCCAUCAGCUCAGAUAGAAUUUGGAGUGGUAUGAAGUACCUCAUGCACUGAAGAACCAUCAUUUUGAAGGACCUGCAGGUGCUACCACAAGGCUCCUCGGGAGGGGAAAUCAGGAUAGCACAUCUCAGCAGAUGGGAGCAUAAAUCUGGCUAGGAAGAGAACGCAAGUGAGAAACAUGUUGAGUCAAUCUCCUCCAAAGAUACUCAUUGAAAAUCUUAAGAUACUAGGAUAUACGGAGACCUCUGACAUUCAUCAUUCACACAUGGAGUUGUUCAAACUGAUGAGCACUGGCAAAAGUAAUUCCUGCGUCUUCCUGGCUGCUCAACAAAAUGAGCACAGCUGAUUUCAGGCUACUCUGUAGAAGCAGUACAGAAAACAUUCAUGAUUUCAGGGCUUCCAACACAUGCAUGUUUUUGAUGAAUUGCUAUGAAAGACAGACAACCUUGACUAAUAAACUCAGCUCCUCAUUUUCUGUUCCCUGGUAA
RNAcentral lists this long non-coding RNA (1272 nucleotides) under Parus major (Great Tit). RNAcentral describes it as "lncRNA (ENSPMJG00000004604.1)". The record is from RNAcentral. Lineage: Eukaryota; Metazoa; Chordata; Aves; Passeriformes; Paridae.